CGCACGGGUGCGUAACGCGUAUGCAACCUGCCCCCAUCAGGGGAAUAGCCCGCCGAAAGGCGGAUUAAUGCCCCAUAGGCCCAGGGCGCCGCAUGGCGCUAUGGGUAAAGCUCCGGCGGAUGGGGAUGGGCAUGCGUGCCAUUAGCUAGUUGGGGCGGUAACGGCGCACCAAGGCGACGAUGGCUAGGGGGUCUGAGAGGAUGGUCCCCCACACUGGUACUGAGACACGGACCAGACUCCUACGGGAGGCAGCAGUGAGGAAUAUUGGUCAAUGGGCGGAAGCCUGAACCAGCCAUGCCGCGUGCAGGAUGACGGCCCUACGGGUUGUAAACUGUCCGUUUUCCCCGGGAAGAAUAAGCCCCUCGUGAGGGGUGAUGCCGGUACCGGGGGAAUAAGGAUCGGCUAACUCCGUGCCAGCCGCAGC
RNAcentral lists this ribosomal RNA (424 nucleotides) under uncultured bacterium. Its description in RNAcentral is "bacterial SSU rRNA". It matches the Rfam family "Bacterial small subunit ribosomal RNA", at positions 99 to 518 of the family's 1533-position model. The record is from RNAcentral.